RNAcentral lists this long non-coding RNA (1322 nucleotides) under Homo sapiens (human). RNAcentral describes it as "HSALNT0183483". The record is from RNAcentral. Lineage: Eukaryota; Metazoa; Chordata; Mammalia; Primates; Hominidae.
CAGAUGGCUUAGUUAAGUUGACCCAGCUAUUGGGAUGGGUUGUGCAAAGCCCAGGCACAGGGUUCAGACUCCAUCUUCUGUGUUCUUCUUAAUUGACAAACUGCAAUGGCUGUCUUCAGAGUCUUGGUUUUCUAUGGUGGUCAACUCCUGAGUUCUUAUGAUGUCGCUGGGCACAGAAAAAAUAAACGGAGAAGGUAAGCCGUGAAUGGCCCAGCAUCCAAACCUGCCUAUGGAGCUGCAGCCCACUUCUCCACUGGAUCCAAGAAAGGAAUACAGAGGAGCACUCCUUUCCCCACGCAACACAAUGGGUUGUGGUACAUACGUGACGUUCCUUAUGGAAGAGUUGUGGUGAUCUCAGAAGGAAACAUUCCAACUCAAAAGGACAAAGCCUGAAACUGUACUUAGAACUUCCUAUUUUAUUACACAAAGGAAAGAGACUUUAUCUUGGGCCUUCACAAGGAAGACAUCCUUCUCCGACCUGGCUGUCAGGUUCACUUUUAUAUUCAUGUGUAUUUCUUCUUUAAGCCUCUCAAUCUGCCACCUCUCAAAUGUUUUCUCUGGAAAAAUACAUUUCCUCCACUGGCUGAGGCUCUAGGUUCUUCCUUUCAAUCUUCAGUCUCAAUUAGCAUUAACUAGAUGAGCACAGAUGUUCACUGACUCUAAGUUUCUCAGGCUACACAGCCCAUGAGUGAGUGUGUAAGUAGAUCCUGUACCUACCAGUGAAAUUGUGACCUGCUGGUUCCCGACUUAAGUGGUAUGUUAGCUAAAGAUAUCACUCUAAGAUAAACAUAAGCUUUUCUUAGUGUCCAGAUAGUUAAAUCCCAUGAUGGAAAAAUAAUAUUUCUGUAUUAGCAGGCCUUUCUGGCUUAGUCCCUUGGGAAUGAUAGGACCUCAUUAGUGGGUGAAAGGGCCCCAGGCUCUUUCCUGUUCUGAUCAAGCCUGGAAGAAUCACACCACAGUAACUUCAGUUUUUAAUGGUUAUUCUAUUUAUAAUUUGGGAAAUAAUUACAGUUCUGAUUAAAUUAUGUUGUUUUUAGUUUCCCUCAAAUGGGAGGAGGAAGACUGCAAAUUUGUCUCACUUCAACAAUUUGUACAAAUUAUUUACUUACCGUUGUUAUAAUUAACCCAGAGGAAAAAAUACAGGGUUCCAUGAUGUGCACAGCUGGGGACAUCAGACAUGAUCUGGCAAGAAAGGGAGAAGGUUCCUUAAAGAGUUGAGAUAUAAAAAGUAACUAAGCGUCUUCCACUUCCAGUCAAGAUGGAGUAAUGGGGAUUGGAUUUACCCUCACACUUGACCCAACUACAGCACUGGACAAAAUGUA